CUGCCCUCAGUCUUCUUUUUUCACAUUGGUUAUUUUUUUAUUCACUUUUUGUCCAGGACUGUACCAGGCCCACAGUUCCAAUUUACACUUCCUUCCACAACUGCCAGCUUAUUCUGUUGAGAAAAUACCUUGCAAACUUUUUACCCAAGUUGGCUUCAAA
Molecule: long non-coding RNA, 160 nt
Organism: Perognathus longimembris pacificus (Pacific pocket mouse)
Lineage: Eukaryota; Metazoa; Chordata; Mammalia; Rodentia; Heteromyidae
Exons: 3
Source: RefSeq, a predicted model, not a curated record